This is a long non-coding RNA of Lolium perenne, 2689 nucleotides long. RefSeq lists it as uncharacterized. NCBI's taxonomy places the organism in Eukaryota, Viridiplantae, Streptophyta, Magnoliopsida, Poales, Poaceae. The record is from RefSeq and is a predicted model, not a curated record.
UGAGCGGCAGUGCUAGGGCUUGCCGCCGCCGCCCCGCCCCGUCCCAUCGUCCUCCGACGCCAUCGCCACAGAGAGAGAGAGAGGAUGGCCAUCCCAUCGGUAGGUGCCGCCGGCAGCUGCGGCCUGCUCAUCCACCGCUCCGCCUCACGAGCCCUCUCUGCGCCUUGUACUGCAUCUCCCGUCGCGCGCGCCAUGGCAACAACCUACCUGAUGCAUCGCACUGAAAGUCCGACCAGCACUCCAUCUCGAGCAAUGUCUGCAGCACGGCAGCCACCAUAGCGCCACUGGACUAGGAUGUAGUCCCCAUGACUAUCCAACCAGAUCCACUACCCACGCCAGAUGCAUGUUCUCCUCGUCUCGUAUGCGGACCCCAUGGCCGAGCCAGUUGGACCGUAUCGAUUCCAGAUGAUCCGUCAGCAUCAAGAUCCCCAGGCUCUUCUCCUGGGGUUUCCCACCGCUUCCGCGCCCUGAUCCCCCCCGCCCACCGCCCCGAUUCGUGGCACCACCCUGAUCCAUGUAGACAAGUGAUGAGGGUUGGCACGAUUCCAGGAGUCUCGGCACUGCUCGGACCAGAGAUCCACCCGAUCUGGACCCUGGGGUUGAUUUGUUUUGCUGAAGAGCCAGGGUCCGAUGUCAGGGCCAUCGGACGCAUAGGACCUGGAGAAAAUUGCUUCACAUGAAGGCAUCAACAAAUCACGGGCCUUGUAACAUUAGCAGGCCAAUGAAAUAUUUUUCAAGCCAUGGACCACGGUGGUUGUGGCUAGGAAGAAGGAGGUUAAGGCGAUGCAGGAGGAGAGGGAUCUGCGCAAGUUUGCCUCUGUGAGUUCCUCUGGUCUCUAAUUGGGUUUACAUGGUAGUUUCUCGAUGCGAAUAUUAGGUAUCAGUGAAAAUACAAGCGCGUAAAAUUAAGAUUCCCUCUAUGGAUUUCGUGAAAUUAAGAUUUUAAAGCAGUGCACAGUAAUUUGCUUCAGGUUAAAACUGAUGUGUUACUCAAUGGCAGAAGUAUAUUAAAUAAUGUUAACAUCAUAUAGGCUGUCAACAAAUAAGGUUGUUAGGACCACAUGUGCAGCCAUUUGAUUUACACAAACUGAUGCUAGAGAGCUCAAGUAAACUUGAAUAUGUCUUUUAUUUGGUAAUUACUUCCUGCUCCAACGUCUUCAGAGCUCUAUCAACUCAGUCACACCUGUUCUAGAAAUGGGUAAUUAAGAUGGACACAUUCAGAAGUGAACCUGAAGCAACCUACACAUUAUUCUACAUGCUAAAUCUCUACUAUAUUAAAAGGAAGAACUGGUUUUAUUUCCUCCGGUCACCAGUGCCACCACGUCGCCCCGUUUGGUCGCUUCGUCCGCUCAUCUCCAAUCGCCCCGCACCUGCCCAAGUGGGCCAAGCCCAACUAAUCUGACCCCGUCGUUAUUUCUCGGUUUUCUCCGAUCCCGUAAGGAGAGAAGAAAGAGAGGUGGCGCUAGGGUUUGGCAUGGCCGCCCCUUCUCGUCAUGCUCCAGCAACGUUGCUACAGAAUCUGCUCCGUGACCGCCCUCUGCCAUCAGAGCUUCUCCUUCAUUGUCCCUGCUUGGAUCUGCGUUGCGGCCGGAUCGAUUUGGUGGCCGCCUGCGUGUGCAAGUCAUCAACCCAGCUCCGCGGCGAUUUGGAGCUCCAGUGUGGUCGGCAUCGCCUCCAAGCCUGCGGAGGCCCACGCCGUCCUGAUCUGGAGCUGGGACAACCUUGCUACUACAUCUGUCUUGGCGCUGAUCGUCCAAGUCCAGGAGGGAGAGCCUCAUUCAUGUUGCGCAGACUGUCACGUUCCAGUUGAUGGAAUUCCAUCCCCCGCUUUACCCUUCACCAAGGUCAUUUUCCCUGGCUGGUAAUACAAUUCAUGUAAAUUUCUUGCCAAAGAAGUUGGAUAUUCCAUCUUAUUUGCUAGCUAUAACAGUGAGCUUAUUCUACAAAUUAAGUGCGUGGAUCAACAGUCUUAUUCUUUGCUGAUCCAGGAAGCCUAAAGCCAAAUUAAGGCUGCAGUUGCUGAAAUUUGGUUUGGAAAUAAUUGAUACAAGGCAUCCACAAAUUGGUUCAGGAUUAUUGUAGCACCUAUAUCAGCAGCCGGUGACACAUCUCUAUCUUGAACCAUGUCUUUCAUGUUGGCGCUUCAUAUUUUGUACUGUCCUUUCAAGUUUGAGUUGCUUUCUAAGACACAAGAUGAGUAGUAAAUUGCUGCUAAGUAUACGCAUUACUAUUUCCAUGUAAUGAAUGCAUGUCUUAUUUUUGAUUGCAAACUAAUACUGGUUUAGUAGUACAUUGAGCAGAAGUAUCUUAUUUGAGAUAGCCUAAAAUUUGGAGCAAACUGAGAACAUAAUAGCUAUGGCAUUAGUCAACAUAAUAUUUUGAAGCAAGCUAUGGACGAAGAUGAAGAGGUGGGGGCUUCACUGUUCGUACAUCAACAUCAGGCUUAGGAAGUGGGAACCACUAUGACAUGGGAAUCCAAGGUUAGCAGAUUUUGUGUUUCCGGUCCAUAAGUUGGACUCUUCUGAAACUUUUCUAAUUAGUGCAAUAGCUGAUGAGAAUAGUGCGGACAAGGGACUCAGUAAUAACAAAGCCAAGUAAUGUAGUAUUUCAGCUCGGUUUUUAUUUUUUGUAAUUUUCUUAUAUUUGGUAACAAAGUGUAUCCUCUUGAAUAUGGAAGUGUUGUUUUGAC